Molecule: ribosomal RNA, 678 nt
Filed under: uncultured marine group I thaumarchaeote
Lineage: Archaea; Thermoproteati; Nitrososphaerota
Description: bacterial SSU rRNA
Rfam family: Archaeal small subunit ribosomal RNA
Source: RNAcentral
CCCUACGGGGUGCAGCAGGCGAGAAAACUUUGCAAUGUGCGAAAGCACGACAAGGUUAAUCCGAGUGGUUUCUGCUAAAGGAACCUUUUGUCAGUCCUAGAAACACUGAUGAAUAAGGGGUGGGCAAGUUCUGGUGUCAGCCGCCGCGGUAAAACCAGCACCUCAAGUGGUCAGGAUGAUUAUUGGGCCUAAAGCAUCCGUAGCCGGCUCUGUAAGUUUUCGGUUAAAUCUGUACGCUCAACGUACAGGCUGCCGGGAAUACUGCAAAGCUAGGGAGUGGGAGAGGUAGACGGUACUCGGUAGGAAGGGGUAAAAUCCUUUGAUCUAUUGAUGACCACCUGUGGCGAAGGCGGUCUACCAGAACACGUCCGACGGUGAGGGAUGAAAGCUGGGGGAGCAAACCGGAUUAGAUACCCGGGUAGUCCCAGCUGUAAACCAUGCAAACUCAGUGAUGCAUUGGCUUGUGGCCAAUGCAGUGCUGCAAGGAAGCCGUUAAGUUUGCCGCCUGGGAAGUACGUACGCAAGUAUGAAACUUAAAGGAAUUGGCGGGGGAGCACCACAAGGGGUGAAGCCUGCGGUUCAAUUGGAGUCAACGCCAGAAAUCUUUACCCCGAAGACGCAGAAUGAAGUCAAGCUGAGACUUUACCAGACAGCUGAAAAGAAGUGCAUGGCCAGGGC